CACCCAAAUUUAGCGUAGAAUGUGGUUUGCUGACUAUUAGUGAGAUGUUACAACAGUUAGUGGACGUUAAUUGUGCAUGGCAUAUGAUCCGGAAUUUCACCAUCUCAUCGAUAAGAGACCCAAGAUGAUAAGCCUAUCACCCCUUCUAAACGCAUACAUUUCUACUUUACAUAUUCAAUGGGAGGAAGUCCAGUAGCGUGGCUUCGGUCCUGCGUUGGCUUGACGUCCCCUCUGUGACAUGAUCAUCUAACACUUCCCCACGUGUGUUGCGAAACACGCAAAGUAUGAAUGAUGUUGAUUGAAUGAAAGUGUGAAAGUGUGCUUGCGUGUAGAACUACAUAUGACAACAACAAAUAAACAUUCAC
This is a long non-coding RNA of Homalodisca vitripennis (glassy-winged sharpshooter), 365 nucleotides long. RefSeq lists it as uncharacterized. The transcript is spliced from 3 exons. The record is from RefSeq and is a predicted model, not a curated record. Lineage: Eukaryota; Metazoa; Arthropoda; Insecta; Hemiptera; Cicadellidae.